Molecule: ribosomal RNA, 880 nt
Filed under: uncultured bacterium
Lineage: Bacteria
Description: bacterial SSU rRNA
Rfam family: Bacterial small subunit ribosomal RNA
Source: RNAcentral
CAGACUUUGAUCAUGGCUCAGGACGAACGCUGGCGGCGCGCCUAACACAUGCAAGUCGAACGAGAGAUGAGGAGCUUGCUCUUCAAAUCGAGUGGCGAACGGGUGAGUAACGCGUGAGGAACCUGCCUCAAAGAGGGGGACAACAGUUGGAAACGACUGCUAAUACCGCAUAAGCCCACGGCUCGGCAUCGAGCAGAGGGAAAAGGAGCAAUCCGCUUUGAGAUGGCCUCGCGUCCGAUUAGCUAGUUGGUGAGGUAACGGCCCACCAAGGCGACGAUCGGUAGCCGGACUGAGAGGUUGAACGGCCACAUUGGGACUGAGACACGGCCCAGACUCCUACGGGAGGCAGCAGUGGGGAAUAUUGCACAAUGGGGGAAACCCUGAUGCAGCGACGCCGCGUGGAGGAAGAAGGUCUUCGGAUUGUAAACUCCUGUUGUUGAGGAAGAUAACGACGGUACUCAACAAGGAAGUGACGGCUAACUACGCGCCAGCAGCCGCGGUAAAACGUAGGUCACAAGCGUUGUCCGGAAUUACUGGGUGUAAAGGGAGCGCAGGCGGGAGAACAAGUUGGAAGUGAAAUCCAUGGGCUCAACCCAUGAACUGCUUUCAAAACUGUUUUUCUUGAGUAGUGCAGAGGUAGGCGGAAUUCCCGGUGUAGCGGUGGAAUGCGUAGAUAUCGGGAGGAACACCAGUGGCGAAGGCGGCCUACUGGGCACCAACUGACGCUGAGGCUCGAAAGUGUGGGUAGCAAACAGGAUUAGAUACCCUGGUAUUCCACACCGUAAACGAUGAUUACUAGGUGUUGGAGGAUUGACCCCUUCAGUGCCGCAGUUAACACAAUAAGUAAUCCACCUGGGGAGUACGACCGCAAGGUUGCAAC